This is a long non-coding RNA of Nothoprocta perdicaria, 244 nucleotides long. RefSeq lists it as uncharacterized. The record is from RefSeq and is a predicted model, not a curated record. Lineage: Eukaryota; Metazoa; Chordata; Aves; Tinamiformes; Tinamidae. The transcript has 3 exons.
UCGCUGAUGCAUGUUUGCAAAGGAAAGUUGCUUUGGGAGAGAGGUGAUAGGGGAUGUAGAAUAUACAUCAUAUAUGGAAAACUGCAUGUCCUAUGGUAGCAGUUAUAUUGAAGGACCAUUUUUGUGGGAGGAACGAGCCCUGUCAUCUUUAUCCGGAAUACACGUUCUUUAUGGCAGUCAUUUCCAAGUUGGCUGAGGGACGCACUGUUGUUUACACCUCCAAGCUCAGCAGUGCAGAGGAUUU